CAAUAGCGUAUAUUAAAGUUGUUGCAGUUAAAAAGCUCGUAGUUGAAUUUUUGCUUGCCGCCGAUGUCGGAACUUCCGUACGUUCGGCGGCGUGCAUCCUUGGGUGGAACCUGUGUGGCAUUAGGUUGUCGUGCAGGGGAUGCUCAUCGUUUACUGUGAAAAAAUUAGAGUGUUCAAAGCAGGCUUACGCCGUUGAAUAUAUUAGCAUGGAAUAAUAAGAUAGGACCUUGGUACUAUUUUGUUGGUUUGCGCACCGAGGUAAUAAUUAACAGGGACAGUUGGGGGUAUUCGUAUUCCAUUGUCAGAGGUGAAAUUCUUGGAUUUCUGGAAGACGAACUACUGCGAAAGCAUUUACCAAGGAUGUUUUCAUUAA
This 373-nucleotide ribosomal RNA is filed under the name uncultured eukaryote. RNAcentral's name for it is "partial 18S ribosomal RNA". It matches the Rfam family "Eukaryotic small subunit ribosomal RNA", at positions 592 to 976 of the family's 1831-position model. The record is from RNAcentral.